Molecule: non-coding RNA, 27 nt
Filed under: Bombyx mori (domestic silkworm)
Lineage: Eukaryota; Metazoa; Arthropoda; Insecta; Lepidoptera; Bombycidae
Source: RNAcentral
GACCAAGAUAGAGAAGAUGCUAACUGG